This 175-nucleotide ribosomal RNA is filed under the name Diplomeris pulchella. RNAcentral describes it as "5.8S ribosomal RNA". The stretch from base 4 to 159 matches the Rfam family "5.8S ribosomal RNA". Rfam says of the family: 5.8S ribosomal RNA (5.8S rRNA) is a component of the large subunit of the eukaryotic ribosome. It is transcribed by RNA polymerase I as part of the 45S precursor that also contains 18S and 28S rRNA. The record is from RNAcentral. Lineage: Eukaryota; Viridiplantae; Streptophyta; Magnoliopsida; Asparagales; Orchidaceae.
UAGGACUCUCGGCAAUGGAUAUCUUGGCUCUCGCAUCGAUGAAGAGCGCAGCGAAAUGCGAUACGUGGUGCGAAUUGCAGAAUCCCGUGAACCAUCGAGUUUUUGAACGCAAGUUGCGCCCGAGGCCAGCUGGCUGAGGGCACGUCCGCCUGGGCGUCAAGCAUUGAAUCGCUCC